Long non-coding RNA from Canis lupus familiaris (dog), 632 nucleotides. RefSeq lists it as uncharacterized. Lineage: Eukaryota; Metazoa; Chordata; Mammalia; Carnivora; Canidae. The transcript is spliced from 4 exons. The record is from RefSeq and is a predicted model, not a curated record.
UUUUGUAAACAGUCAAAGCAUCACCAGGAUGGCAGCAGUGGAACUCUGUGAGUCAUGCCAUAAUCAUCAGGAUUUCUUGGCCAAUUUAUGAACUGUGCUCAUCUGUAGAAAAUGUUUCAUUGGAGCGAUGAACAACAGUCGGCUCAGGGAUGUUGGCUUUUUUGAUUGAGAGCUCCAGGCCUACAGCAGCUGAGUAUGCUGAAAACUUGAACUACGGAGAAUGCUUCUUUCCAAUGGGCAUUAUAUCUUAGAAAAUUCAUCAACAGAAGACAUUGAAAGUAAGGCUCAAAACCCCCUGGCACUGAAUCUCCGUGUGCGUGCUGGUGCAUGUGAAAAACUAAAGCAUGUGAUCACAUACCCCGUGGGUGGAAAUUUAAAAAGAACUUUACGAAAUGCCAACGACUCAAUGAAACAAAGCGUGAUGGAUCAAGAAGACUGGGAGAGCUGAAGCAAUCUGCAGAAAGAAAUGCAUGGUUGUCAGGAGAGAAUGAAGCCACAGAGAACUUAAGUCAUCUCCUGAGGUCUCAGAGUUCCUAGAUUGGGGCAUGGAGUCCCAACUUCAAAUCGCCUGGACAUCUCCGAACUGACAGGAUUUUUAAAAAUACUGAACUCACAGCCGGGGAAUAAAAGUA